AGAGUUUGAUCAUGGCUCAGAUUGAACGCUGGCGGCAUGGAUUAGGCAUGCAAGUCGAACGAUGAAGCAGUGCUUGCACUGUGAAUUAGUGGCGAAAGGGUGAGUAACACGUGAGUAAUCUGCCUUCAACUCGGGGAUAGCCUUUGGAAACGAAGAUUAAUACCGGAUGUGAAGUUUAAAUCGCAUGAUUUUAACUUUAAAAUUUUUUGGUUGGAGAUGGGCUCGCGUCCCAUUAGCUAGUUGGUAAGGUAACGGCUUACCAAGGCAACGACGGGUAGGUGGUCUGAGAGGAUGGUCACCCACACUGGAACUGAGACACUGUCCAGACUCCUACGGGAGGCUGCAGUCGAGAAUCUUCCGCAAUGGGCGAAAGCCUGACGGAGCAAUGCCGCGUGAAUGAUGAAGGCCUUCGGGUUGUAAAAUUCUGUCACCUGGGACGAAAUUUGACGGUACCAGGAGAGGAAGUGACGGCUAACUACGUGCCAGCAGCCGCGGUAAUACGUAGGUCACGAGCGUUAAUCGGAUUUAUUGGGCGUAAAGGGUCCGCAGGGGGUUUUAUAAGUUUGACGUGAAAUGUCGAGGCUCAACCUC
RNAcentral lists this ribosomal RNA (591 nucleotides) under uncultured Bacillota bacterium. Its description in RNAcentral is "bacterial SSU rRNA". It matches the Rfam family "Bacterial small subunit ribosomal RNA", at positions 8 to 616 of the family's 1533-position model. The record is from RNAcentral. Lineage: Bacteria; Bacillati; Bacillota.